RNAcentral lists this transfer RNA (77 nucleotides) under Monodonta labio. RNAcentral describes it as "tRNA-Thr". It matches the Rfam family "tRNA". Rfam says of the family: Transfer RNA (tRNA) molecules are approximately 80 nucleotides in length. Their secondary structure includes four short double-helical elements and three loops (D, anti-codon, and T loops). The record is from RNAcentral. Lineage: Eukaryota; Metazoa; Mollusca; Gastropoda; Trochida; Trochidae.
GCAGCGGAAGCUGAAAAGUUAAGCGUCGGUCUUGUAAACCGGGGGGUGAAAGUGUUGUGUUAAUCUUUCUCGCUGCU